CCGUAAACGUUGGGCACUAGGUGUGGGGACCAUUCCACGGUUUCCGCGCCGCAGCUAACGCAUUAAGUGCCCCGCCUGGGGAGUACGGCCGCAAGGCUAAAACUCAAAGGAAUUGACGGGGGCCCGCACAAGCGGCGGAGCAUGCGGAUUAAUUCGAUGCAACGCGAAGAACCUUACCAAGGCUUGACAUGUUCUCGAUCGCCGUAGAGAUACGGUUUCCCCUUUGGGGCGGGAUCACAGGUGGUGCAUGGUUGUCGUCAGCUCGUGUCGUGAGAUGUUGGGUUAAGUCCCGCAACGAGCGCAACCCUCGUUCCAUGUUGCCAGCACGUGAUGGUGGGGACUCAUGGGAGACUGCCGGGGUCAACUCGGAGGAAGGUGGGGACGACGUCAAAUCAUCAUGCCCCUUAUGUCUUGGGCUUCACGCAUGCUACAAUGGCCGGUACAAUGGGUUGCGAUACUGUGAGGUGGAGCUAAUCCCAAAAAGCCGGUCUCAGUUCGGAUUGGGGUCUGCAACUCGACCCCAUGAAGUCGGAGUCGCUAGUAAUCGCAGAUCAGCAACGCUGCGGUGAAUACGUUCCCGGGCCUUGUACAC
This 592-nucleotide ribosomal RNA is filed under the name Micrococcus luteus. Its description in RNAcentral is "bacterial SSU rRNA". It matches the Rfam family "Bacterial small subunit ribosomal RNA", at positions 800 to 1388 of the family's 1533-position model. Lineage: Bacteria; Bacillati; Actinomycetota; Actinomycetes; Micrococcales; Micrococcaceae. The record is from RNAcentral.